Molecule: ribosomal RNA, 817 nt
Filed under: bacterium 168_xplvp345
Lineage: Bacteria
Also listed under: 1 other name
Description: bacterial SSU rRNA
Rfam family: Bacterial small subunit ribosomal RNA
Source: RNAcentral
UACACAUGCAAGUCGAACGGUGACCUGGGGAGCUUGCUCCUUGGUGAUCAGUGGCGAACGGGUGAGUAACACGUGAGUAACCUGCCCCAGACUCUGGGAUAACUUCGGGAAACCGGAGCUAAUACCGGAUAUGACGCGGAGAUGCAUGUCUACCGUGUGGAAAGUUUUUCGGUCUGGGAUGGGCUCGCGGCCUAUCAGCUAGUUGGUGAGGUGAUGGCUCACCAAGGCGACGACGGGUAGCCGGCCUGAGAGGGCGACCGGCCACACUGGGACUGAGACACGGCCCAGACUCCUACGGGAGGCAGCAGUGGGGAAUAUUGCACAAUGGGCGAAAGCCUGAUGCAGCGACGCCGCGUGAGGGAUGACGGCCUUUGGGUUGUAAACCUCUUUCAGCAGGGAAGAAGCGCAAGUGACGGUACCUGCAGAAGAAGCACCGGCUAACUACGUGCCAGCAGCCGCGGUAAUACGUAGGGUGCGAGCGUUGUCCGGAAUUAUUGGGCGUAAAGAGCUUGUAGGCGGUCUGUCGCGUCUGCUGUGAAAAUCCGGGGCUCAACCCCGGACUUGCAGUGGGUACGGGCAGACUAGAGUGUGGUAGGGGAGACUGGAAUUCCUGGUGUAGCGGUGAAAUGCGCAGAUAUCAGGAGGAACACCGAUGGCGAAGGCAGGUCUCUGGGCCAUAACUGACGCUGAGAAGCGAAAGCAUGGGGAGCGAACAGGAUUAGAUACCCUGGUAGUCCAUGCCGUAAACGUUGGGAACUAGGUGUGGGUCUCAUUCCACGAGAUCCGUGCCGCAGCUAACGCAUUAAGUUCCCCGCCU